GAUGAACGCUGGCGGCGUGCCUAAUACAUGCAAGUCGAGCGAACGGACGAGAAGCUUGCUUCUCUGAUGUUAGCGGCGGACGGGUGAGUAACACGUGGAUAACCUACCUAUAAGACUGGGAUAACUUCGUGAAACCGGAUCUAAUACCGGAUAAUAUUUUGAACCGCAUGGUUCAAAAGUGAAAGACGGUCUUGCUGUCACUUAUAGAUGGAUCCGCGCUGCAUUAGCUAGUUGGUAAGGUAACGGCUUACCAAGGCAACGAUGCAUAGCCGACCUGAGAGGGUGAUCGGCCACACUGGCACUGAGACACGGUCCAGACUCCUACGGGAGGCAGCAGUAGGGAAUCUUCCGCAAUGGGCGAAAGCCUGACGGAGCAACGCCGCGUGAGUGAUGAAGGUCUUCGGAUCGUAAAACUCUGUUAUUAGGAAAGAACAUAUGUGUAAGUAACUGUGCACAUCUUGACGGUACCUAAUCAGAAAGCCCCGGCUAACUACGUG
RNAcentral lists this ribosomal RNA (497 nucleotides) under uncultured bacterium. RNAcentral's name for it is "partial 16S ribosomal RNA". It matches the Rfam family "Bacterial small subunit ribosomal RNA", at positions 28 to 507 of the family's 1533-position model. The record is from RNAcentral.